This 350-nucleotide long non-coding RNA is filed under the name Falco tinnunculus (common kestrel). RNAcentral's name for it is "lncRNA (ENSFTIG00000000874.1)". Lineage: Eukaryota; Metazoa; Chordata; Aves; Falconiformes; Falconidae. The record is from RNAcentral.
AAACUGACUUCAGUUACACAAACGCUUACCAUCACCUGCAGCCCUUCCAUGCCACAACCAAAAGCUUCCUGGACAUACACCCACCAGAAGAAACACUGCCUUGUGGGAUGAAGCAGGACAUCCAGGUGACCUUCAUGCUCAGUCGGGAUGACCUGGGAGAAAGCACCAACCGUAUAAGUUUUGCGUAUUAUGUCACUGGGAGGGCUGGAAUUGUUGUCAGGGGCCAGAGGAAUGUCCAGGUUGGGAAGCUGAACAAGUUGCAGGGCUCCUUCUCCAUCCCUUUGACUUUCACUGCUGACUUCACCCCAUCACCUUCCUUAGUGGUGUAUGCCAUCUUCCCCAGUGGAGGG